AUGAAGCUUCCCCGACCAAAGUCAUCCAUGACUACUGAACAGAGCAGUUUUAACAUGCUCCCUCUUACCCCCUCUUUUCACAUUGGAGGAAUUGGAGGAUCAUCUUUGGGGCCUCAAUUUGUUUCUGAGGCACUUGCGUCUGAUAACCCCCCAUUGAAGAUACGAUUUAUUAACAACACCGACCCUGCUGGAAUUGAUCAUCAAAUUGCUCAACUAGGGGAGGAAAUUAAAUCUACUCUUGUAAUUCUAAUCUCUAAGAGUGGUGGUACACCUGAAACCCGGAAUGGUCUACUAGAAGAACAAAAGGCCUUCAGAGAUGCUGGACUGGAUUUUUCAAAACAGAUGCUGAUGCCAUCCUAUCAGGGUUGUGAGCGGCACUACCAUACUGCAAGGGGUCUGGAACGCGGGUAUUUUGGAACGGCAACUUCACCAUCUAUAUGGCCAUACAAGUCCCCACAUAACAAGUCAGCAUGGGUUCAGAUAACUUUGAAAACAGAUUCAGCAAAGGCACAUAGGGGGCAUCAAGUUAUUUUGGCUGCAACAGCAAGACCCUGCCAUGCCAAGUCCUUGGAGGCAUAUGGUUUCGUAGGGUCCAUCAUGCCGCCUAUGCUGUGCUUGCGCACAUCGUGUCCGCAUAUGCUCCGGAGCCGUGACUCCUCCAUCGGCGCCACUGGCUAUCCCAAGUACUCGCCUUCUCCUCCUCCCACCAUGACUACGGUUGAACAAUCGAGGAGGCCGAGGGAUGACUAUAUUGGGGUCGUGAUGGAUUGGCUGAUGGAUGUGAUUGAUGAGUUCAAACUUCUGGCUGACACACUUUACCUUCUGAUUCAUAUAUUGGCCAAUUCCUCGCAGCGGGACAAGUUGAGUUUCUUGGUGUCGCUUCAUUACUUGUUGCUGUUUUGCCCAUGUUGCAAGAUCUUAGGACCUCUCAUGUUUGGGAUUCCUCCUUUCUACUUUGUUAGAAUACAAUUGCAGGAAUCACAGCAAGCAGGACUAGGUAGUUGUCCGGCAAGACCGGCCGCAGAGGUGAAACUGAGCAGCACCGUAGUUGGUCGUAACCUACAGAGCGCCCGCGUCCAGCACAAAAGGAGAUCCAGGAAGGAGGCGAGUCUGUCCCACGGCGUCGCUGUCCAGAGGAGCACAUAUGAUCCUCAUAAUAGCAUGUUUGUAAUGAAUUCUGGAACCAAUCGGGAGAUUAAAAUCAGCAAAGCAUAUUCAUCCGUCCAGCUAGCCCACCCAAAUCCCUCACUCCCCGCGUGCGUCUCCUCUUCCUUCCCUCACGUCGCCGCCGGCCCAUAUCGAAGACAGAGAGAAAGAGCAGGGCACUCACGCAACCCUUUCUCACUGCCGGCUCGUCUCCCCUCCCACCUCAGCGCCGCUGCCUCUGUCUGCUCCGCCUCACUCUCCUCCGUCCCUCAGCGCGCCACGCCAUCUCCACAGGGUCCAGCCUCCACCGAAGCCGAUCUCUCCGCUGAGCACGCCCCGCACCGCCGUUGCUGUCGUGGGCUCCUCGGCACCGCUGCAGACGGGGAGGCGGCCUGUGGGAGGGCCCUAAAUGUGGCCGACGACUCCAUCCCCGCUCGCAUGUGGCGGCGGCCAGCCCAGCUCCGCCUCUUCCGACCCAUCUUCUUGGGCAUCAUUGGUAGUGAAGGAGGACUCUUGCAGGUGCUACGUGACUUCACUGGUCGCGUUAUUGACUGGGAUUUCGAGUACGACAACUUCACAAAAAAUGUUUCAAAUUUUAUCCCACUUGAUUUCCAGUUUGAACUUUGGUCGAAGAACUUGGUUAUUCUUGUUCUGAUUGUUGACACAUCUUCGCCGCGGAGCUCGAAGGCUGCUACUAUUACUUCUUGCGCCAUUAUUUGGCAACGUACUGCUGCGGUGUCCAGAGAUGACACCAUUAGUUUGGUUGUGGCGCCAACUGGCUAUCUCGACAACAUUGACGCUGAAGUUAUCGAGCCUCCGAAGAAUGGGAUGCCAAGGGUUCAUAAUUGUCGUCCAACUUGCAGCAGUGAAUUGGGUAACAUAAGAUGCCUUGCUUUGGAGAAGGUUGGCGCCUCUCUAGAGGUUCUGUAA
This 2076-nucleotide ribosomal RNA is filed under the name Triticum aestivum (bread wheat). Its description in RNAcentral is "partial small subunit ribosomal RNA". Lineage: Eukaryota; Viridiplantae; Streptophyta; Magnoliopsida; Poales; Poaceae. The record is from RNAcentral.